GCUGGUUUUCCAGGCAAAUCCGGAAAAUCAAGGCUGAGGCGUGAUGACGAGGCACUACGGUGCUGAAGCAACAAAUGCCCUGCUUCCAGGAAAAGCCUCUAAGCAUCAGGUAACAUCAAAUCGUACCCCAAACCGACACAGGUGGUCAGGUAGAGAAUACCAAGGCGCUUGAGAGAACUCGGGUGAAGGAACUAGGCAAAAUGGUGCCGUAACUUCGGGAGAAGGCACGCUGAUAUGUAGGUGAGGUCCCUCGCGGAUGGAGCUGAAAUCAGUCGAAGAUACCAGCUGGCUGCAACUGUUUAUUAAAAACACAGCACUGUGCAAACACGAAAGUGGACGUAUACGGUGUGACGCCUGCCCGGUGUCGGAAGGUUAAUUGAUGGGGUUAGCGCAAGCGAAGCUCUUGAUCGAAGCCCCGGUAAACGGCGGCCGUAACUAUAACGGUCCUAAGGUAGCGAAAUUCCUUGUCGGGUAAGUUCCGACCCGCACGAAUGGCGUAAUGAUGGCCAGGCUCUCCACCCGAGACUCAGUGAAAUUGAACUCGCUGUGAAGAUGCAGUGUACCCGCGGCAAGACGGAAAGACCCCGUGAACCUUUACUAUAGCUUGACACUGAACAUUGAGCCUUGAUGUGUAGGAUAGGUGGGAGGCUUUGAAGUGUGGACGCCAGUCUGCAUGGAGCCGACCUUGAAAUACCACCCUUUAAUGUUUGAUGUUCUAACGUUGACCCGUAAUCCGGGUUGCGGACAGUGUCUGGUGGGUAGUUUGACUGGGGCGGUCUCCUCCUAAAGAGUAACGGAGGAGCACGAAGGUUGGCUAAUCCUGGUCGGACAUCAGGAGGUUAGUGCAAUGGCAUAAGCCAGCUUGACUGCGAGCGUGACGGCGCGAGCAGGUGCGAAAGCAGGUCAUAGUGAUCCGGUGGUUCUGAAUGGAAGGGCCAUCGCUCAACGGAUAAAAGGUACUCCGGGGAUAACAGGCUGAUACCGCCCAAGAGUUCAUAUCGACGGCGGUGUUUGGCACCUCGAUGUCGGCUCAUCACAUCCUGGGGCUGAAGUAGGUCCCAAGGGUAUGGCUGUUCGCCAUUUAAAGUGGUACGCGAGCUGGGUUUAGAACGUCGUGAGACAGUUCGGUCCCUAUCUGCCGUGGGCGCUGGAGAACUGAGGGGGGCUGCUCCUAGUACGAGAGGACCGGAGUGGACGCAUCACUGGUGUUCGGGUUGUCAUGCCAAUGGCACUGCCCGGUAGCUAAAUGCGGAAGAGAUAAGUGCUGAAAGCAUCUAAGCACGAAACUUGCCCCGAGAUGAGUUCUCCCUGACUCCUUGAGAGUCCUGAAGGAACGUUGAAGACGACGACGUUGAUAGGCCGGGUGUGUAAGCGCAGCGAUGCGUUGAGCUAACCGGUACUAAUGAACCGUGAGGCUUAACCU
Molecule: ribosomal RNA, 1423 nt
Filed under: metagenome
Description: bacterial LSU rRNA
Rfam family: Bacterial large subunit ribosomal RNA
Source: RNAcentral